Molecule: ribosomal RNA, 270 nt
Filed under: uncultured Pseudomonadaceae bacterium
Lineage: Bacteria; Pseudomonadati; Pseudomonadota; Gammaproteobacteria; Pseudomonadales; Pseudomonadaceae
Description: partial 16S ribosomal RNA
Rfam family: Bacterial small subunit ribosomal RNA
Source: RNAcentral
AGUUACCAGCACGUUAUGUGGGCACUCUAAGGAGACUGCCGGUGACAAACCGGAGGGAAGGUGGGGAUGACGUCAAGUCAUCAUGGCCCUUACGGCCUGGGCUACACACGUGCUACAAUGGUCGGUACAAAGGGUUGCCAAGCCGCGAGGUGGAGCUAAUCCCAUAAAACCGAUCGUAGUCCGGAUCGCAGUCUGCAACUCGACUGCGUGAAGUCGGAAUCGCUAGUAAUCGUGAAUCAGAAUGUCACGGUGAAUACGUUCCCGGGCCUU